This 67-nucleotide transfer RNA is filed under the name Anolis fitchi. RNAcentral's name for it is "tRNA-Trp". Lineage: Eukaryota; Metazoa; Chordata; Lepidosauria; Squamata; Anolidae. The record is from RNAcentral.
AGAAACUUAGGAUAAACAAACCAAGAGCCUUCAAAGCCCAAAAUAUGAACUAACCAUCAUAGUUUCU